RNAcentral lists this ribosomal RNA (520 nucleotides) under uncultured Leptotrichia sp. RNAcentral describes it as "bacterial SSU rRNA". It matches the Rfam family "Bacterial small subunit ribosomal RNA", at positions 381 to 917 of the family's 1533-position model. Lineage: Bacteria; Fusobacteriati; Fusobacteriota; Fusobacteriia; Fusobacteriales; Leptotrichiaceae. The record is from RNAcentral.
CCCUGAUCCAGCAAUUCUGUGUGCACGAAGAAGGUUUUCGGAUUGUAAAGUGCUUUCAGCAGGGAAGAAGAAAGUGACGGUACCUGCAGAAGAAGCGACGGCUAAAUACGUGCCAGCAGCCGCGGUAAUACGUAUGUCGCAAGCGUUAUCCGGAAUUAUUGGGCAUAAAGGGCGUCUAGGCGGCCCUGUAAGUCUAGGGUGAAAACCUGCGGCUCAACCGCAGGCCUGCCCCGGAAACUACAGGGCUAGAGUAUCGGAGAGGUGGACGGAACUGCACGAGUAGAGGUGAAAUUCGUAGAUAUGUGCAGGAAUGCCGAUGAUGAAGAUAGUUCACUGGACGGUAACUGACGCUGAAGUGCGAAAGCUAGGGGAGCAAACAGGAUUAGAUACCCUGGUAGUCCUAGCUGUAAACGAUGAUUACUGGGUGUGGGCAUGAAGAGUGUCCGUGCCGAAGCAAAUGCGAUAAGUAAUCCGCCUGGGGAGUACGGCCGCAAGGCUGAAACUCAAAGGAAUUGACGGA